AUUGAACGCUGGCGGCAGGCCUAACACAUGCAAGUCGAGCGGAUGAAGGGAGCUUGCUCCUGGAUUCAGCGGCGGACGGGUGAGUAAUGCCUAGGAAUCUGCCUGGUAGUGGGGGAUAACGUCCGGAAACGGGCGCUAAUACCGCAUACGUCCUGAGGGAGAAAGUGGGGGAUCUUCGGACCUCACGCUAUCAGAUGAGCCUAGGUCGGAUUAGCUAGUUGGUGGGGUAAAGACCUACCAAGGCGACGAUCCGUAACUGGUCUGAGAGGAUGAUCAGUCACACUGGAACUGAGACACGGUCCAGACUCCUACGGGAGGCAGCAGUGGGGAAUAUUGGACAAUGGGCGAAAGCCUGAUCCAGCCAUGCUGCGUGUGUGAAGAAGGUCUUCGGAUUGUAAAGCACUUUAAGUUGGGAGGAAGGGCAGUAAGUUAAUACCUUGCUGUUUUGACGUUACCAACAGAAUAAGCACCGGCUAACUUCGUG
This 484-nucleotide ribosomal RNA is filed under the name uncultured bacterium. RNAcentral describes it as "partial 16S ribosomal RNA". It matches the Rfam family "Bacterial small subunit ribosomal RNA", at positions 30 to 507 of the family's 1533-position model. The record is from RNAcentral.